AUUGAACGCUGGCGGCAGGCCUAACACAUGCAAGUCGAGCGGAUGAAGGGAGCUUGCUCCUGGAUUCAGCGGCGGACGGGUGAGUAAUGCCUAGGAAUCUGCCUGGUAGUGGGGGAUAACGUCCGGAAACGGGCGCUAAUACCGCAUACGUCCUGAGGGAGAAAGUGGGGGAUCUUCGGACCUCACGCUAUCAGAUGAGCCUAGGUCGGAUUAGCUAGUUGGUGGGGUAAAGGCCUACCAAGGCGACGAUCCGUAACUGGUCUGAGAGGAUGAUCAGUCACACUGGAACUGAAAAGCGGUCCAUACUCCUACGGGAGGCAGCAGUGGGGAAUAUUGGACAAUGGGCGAAAGCCUGAUACAGCCAUGCCGCGUGUGUGAAGAAGGUCUUCGGAUUGUAAAGCACUUUAAGUUGGGAGGAAGGGCAGUAAGUUAAUACCUUGCUGUUUUGACGUUACCAACAGAAUAAGCACCGGCUAACUUCGUG
Molecule: ribosomal RNA, 484 nt
Filed under: uncultured bacterium
Lineage: Bacteria
Description: partial 16S ribosomal RNA
Rfam family: Bacterial small subunit ribosomal RNA
Source: RNAcentral